ACUACGGGUGGCUGCAGUGAGGAAUAUUGGUCAAUGGACGCAAGUCUGAACCAGCCAUGCCGCGUGCAGGAAGACGGCUCUAUGAGUUGUAAACUGCUUUUGUACGAGGGUAAACGCAGAUACGCGUAUCUGUCUGAAAGUAUCGUACGAUUACGGAUCGGCUAAAUCUGUGCCAGCAGCCGCGGUAAUACGGAGGAUUCAAGCGUUAUCCGGAUUUAGUGGGGUUAAAGGGUGCGUAGGCGGUCGGGUAAGUUAGAGGUGAAAUCCCGAGGCUCAACUUCGGAAUUGCCUCUGAUACUGUUCGGCUAGAGAGUAGUUGCGGUAGGCGGAAUGUAUGGUGUAGCGGUGAAAUGCUUAGAGAUCAUACAGAACACCGAUUGCGAAGGCAGCUUACCAGGCUACUUCUGACGUUGAGGCACGAAAGCGUGGGGAGCAAACAGGAUUAGAUACCCUAGUAGUC
RNAcentral lists this ribosomal RNA (460 nucleotides) under uncultured bacterium. RNAcentral describes it as "partial 16S ribosomal RNA". It matches the Rfam family "Bacterial small subunit ribosomal RNA", at positions 338 to 795 of the family's 1533-position model. The record is from RNAcentral.